UACGUAGGGGGCAAGCGUUGUCCGGAAUCAUUGGGCGUAAAGAGCGUGUAGGUGGCUCGGUAAGUCCGCUGUGAAAGUCCAGGGCUCAACCCUGGAAUGCCGGUGGAAACUGUCGAGCUCGAGUCCGGAAGAGGCGAGUGGAAUUCCCGGUGUAGCGGUGAAAUGCGCAGAUAUCAGGAGGAACACCAAUGGCGAAGGCAGCUCGCUGGGACGGUACUGACACUGAGACGCGAAAGCGUGGGGAGCAAACAGG
RNAcentral lists this ribosomal RNA (253 nucleotides) under uncultured bacterium. RNAcentral's name for it is "partial 16S ribosomal RNA". It matches the Rfam family "Bacterial small subunit ribosomal RNA", at positions 524 to 776 of the family's 1533-position model. The record is from RNAcentral.